Molecule: ribosomal RNA, 459 nt
Filed under: uncultured bacterium
Lineage: Bacteria
Description: partial 16S ribosomal RNA
Rfam family: Bacterial small subunit ribosomal RNA
Source: RNAcentral
CCUACGGGGGGCAGCAGUGAGGAAUAUUGGUCAAUGGCCGGGAGGCUGAACCAGCCAAGUCGCGUGAGGGAAGACGGCCCUACGGGUUGUAAACCUCUUUUGUCAGGGAGCAAGGUGCAGGUCGGGACCUGCUGUGAGAGUACCUGAAGAAAAAGCAUCGGCUAACUCCGUGCCAGCAGCCGCGGUAAUACGGAGGAUGCGAGCGUUAUCCGGAUUUAUUGGGUUUAAAGGGUGCGCAGGCGGAGGCACAAGUCAGCGGUAAAAUCGCGGGGCUCAACCCCGCUCCGCCGUUGAAACUGUGUCGCUUGAGUGCGCGAAGGGUAGGCGGAAUGCGUGGUGUAGGGGUGAAAUGCAUAGAUAUCACGCAGAACUCCGAUCGCGAAGGCAGCCUACCGGCGCGCAACUGACGCUCAUGCACGAAAGCGUGGGUAGCGAACAGGAUUAGAUACCCGGGUAGUC